This 403-nucleotide ribosomal RNA is filed under the name uncultured bacterium. Its description in RNAcentral is "partial 16S ribosomal RNA". It matches the Rfam family "Bacterial small subunit ribosomal RNA", at positions 29 to 526 of the family's 1533-position model. The record is from RNAcentral.
AUUGAACGCUGGCGGCAGGCCUAACACAUGCAAGUCGAGCGAGAGGCGGACGGGUGAGUAAUGUAUGGGGACUGCCCGACAGAGGGGGAUCACUACUGGAAAAGGUGGCUAAUACCGCAUACCGUCGGAUAACCCAUAUGGGAUUAGCUGGUAGGUAAGGUAAUGGCUUACCUGGGAGACGAACCCUAGCUGGUCUGAGAGGAUGAUCAGCCAAACUGGGACUGGGACACGGCCCAGACUCCUACGGAGGCAGCAGUGGGGAAUAUUGGACAAGGGGGGCAAGCCUGAUGCAGCCAUGCGGCGGGUAUGAAGAAGGCCCUAGGGUUGUAAAGUAUUUUCAGUCGGGAGGCGUUACCGACAGAAGAAGCACCGGCUAACUCCGUGCCAGCAGCCGCGGUAAUUC